Molecule: long non-coding RNA, 225 nt
Filed under: Sus scrofa (pig)
Lineage: Eukaryota; Metazoa; Chordata; Mammalia; Artiodactyla; Suidae
Description: lncRNA (ENSSSCG00035036114.1)
Source: RNAcentral
AUGGUGGAGAGGGUCUUUCAGGCCAUGCAACCCGCAAAGCUUCUCGCAGGGGCACGAGCAGAGUGUUUUGCAUCGGAGAGCCCCACCUGCAGAGUCCCUUGCUGGCAGUGGAUUUGGACAGCCGCUCUCAGUCUCUGGCUACAGCAGCCUGGGACCCCUUUCAACUUCCCCAGGUAUUUCUGGGAGAGCCCAGAGAUGUCACACAUGAACUCUCACGGCCUAUGA